RNAcentral lists this ribosomal RNA (92 nucleotides) under uncultured bacterium. RNAcentral describes it as "partial 16S ribosomal RNA". It matches the Rfam family "Bacterial small subunit ribosomal RNA", at positions 1393 to 1482 of the family's 1533-position model. The record is from RNAcentral.
CCCGUCACAUCAUGAAAGCCGUUUGUACCCGAAGUCACCGUGUUAGCUCGCAAGAGAGACAGGUGCCGAAGGUAUGGAUGGUGAUUGGGAUG